Molecule: small RNA, 211 nt
Filed under: Pseudomonas sp. SJZ094
Lineage: Bacteria; Pseudomonadati; Pseudomonadota; Gammaproteobacteria; Pseudomonadales; Pseudomonadaceae
Also listed under: 1 other name
Description: Pseudomonas sRNA P29
Source: RNAcentral
AAACUACAAGGGGAGCCGAAGCUCCCCCAGAAGUAGUUGCAUGCUCUAUUUUUAUUAUUGGUUUCGGGCUUCUUGUUUUUGUUGAUCGCCCUCGCCAUGAAGCUUCACCUUCAUGACACUCCCAAUCGGGAGUUAAGAGCAAACGGAUUGCUUUGGUCGCUGUGUUGCUGAUCUACGAUCCAACCAGUUCAGGCUCUGCCUUAGGGCAGUU